CAAGAUCAAUUUCACCAUUCACAUCGCAAGCAUCCAGUUUGUUCCCGAUUGGUCCCUCCCCUUUCAGCAGUGUAUGUUCAUUGGCACUUCGAGCUGUCAAUCGGAGCAUAGACGCAUGUUUUGGUUUUCAGAAUUGAUGUUAUAGAAAACUCAUAAAAUUGCAGCUGAAACGGGAGAGAGGAUGCGGUCGGUAAGAACACAUUUAACAGCCUGUUUGACGCAGAAGUUGAGAGUCACCAUUCAAUCAAAAUAUCCUCUCUAUCUUGCUUUGGAGGGUUUAAAUAGGUAAAAGAAACGAUAAAGGACUAUAUUGUACGUGGACUGACAUGCACACUUGGAAGUCAGAGGUCCAGAUGCAGAAGCCUGCAUCGCUCUUUGGCAGGGUCAGUCAUCAGACAGAUUUCACCGAGCUGACUUUCUCCAUGUUCAGCAGUAAAACAGACAUCUGCCCGAAACACGUCUCUUCUGACGGCUGCAGUAGUUCGAAUCCCGCCUCGAUACAGAUGCGCUGCGGAUCUGAAGAUCUCAAACUCCACGCGCAUCACACAUCCAAACUCCACUGCUUCACCAUGUCACCAGAUGGUAUUGAAUGGUGACUGAG
Long non-coding RNA from Rhinichthys klamathensis goyatoka, 601 nucleotides. RefSeq lists it as uncharacterized. The record is from RefSeq and is a predicted model, not a curated record. NCBI's taxonomy places the organism in Eukaryota, Metazoa, Chordata, Actinopteri, Cypriniformes, Leuciscidae. The transcript has 3 exons.